AGAGAUGUUGCUAAUGCUCAUAUUUUAGCAUUUGAGAACCCCCAAGCAAAUGGAAGAUACAUUAUGGCUGCAGAUGUAUAUCACUCUUCAGAUAUCAUGAAGAUCAUAAACCAAAACUAUCCCGCUUUUGACUAUUCUGAAAGGUAAUUAAGUUAUAACCUAUUAUUAGGUUCAUUUUAACUUUAUAUAUAUGAACCCAAAAAAGGCAAAAUCUGAAAUACUUGUUUCUUUAUUUAAAUUUUGACAGGUAUAAAGACAGCAAGUAUGUUGGGACACCAAAUUACUUUGUAUCGAGAACAAAGGCAGAAAGUUUAGGCGUUAAGUUUACUACAGUUGAGGAAAGCAUCAAGGACACUGUUGAAAGCCUAAAAGAGAAGAAGUUUCUAAGCUUCUAAAACACCGGAUGAUGUUUUCUAGAUUUGUUUGAAGUUACCACAUGAACAAUGUCAAUAUUGUACGGUGUCUACUGUUUUCGACCCUGUUAUAAAAAAUAAAAAAUAAAUACAGUGAUCAUGUUACACAUAUUAUCAAAAAACGGAACCACAUGGUUUGUCACACUUGGAAACUACCUAAAUUAUGCAAAAUUCAAAAUACCACUGCCCAAAUUUGCAGUUUAGGAGUGUAUAGAUGAUGCUUUAAAAUCUGCAUCUUGAUAUGUAUAGCAUCGUACUCCUAUGGGAGCUGAUCCGUACACAACAAGAUUUAUCCAUACACAACAAAUUUUAAUAAAUAGACAAUUUUAACCUUUUCUCUAUUUAACCAAAUUUUACACUUUACCCCUUGCUGUGAAGCCACAAAGAUGUACAGUAAACGAUCAAAAAACUAGAACUUCAUUCCAAAUAAGUUCACAUUGAUGUUUGGAUUUGAAGACUGGAUAUAAAUUAGAAAAUUUGAUAACCAUAGACUGAUACAAUAUUGUGCAAGAAACUAUACAAAAUUAGAACAUUGAUAUUAUACAGGGACGAUCACAAAAUAGAAUCAUGAUUAAGCAAUUAUAAAUCAAUUCAUGAUUAUAUAGGAAAUGAUUUCAAAUCAGUUCACAGUUCCAAAUUCGUGCUUUUGCAAACUAGAUAAGAGACGCAUUGAGGUUGCAAUUGUACUGGAACGAUCAGAAAAUUGAAUCCAUAAUUAAUCAAAUCAAAAUCAGUUCAUGAUUUUAGAAGAAAAGAUUGUAAAUUAGUUCACAAUUCCAACUUAGUGCUUUUGCAAAUAAGAUAAGAGACACACUGAUACAGGGAAACGGUCAAAAUUAGAAACAAAAUCGCAAUUGUAACGAAAAUUAGCGCGUACCUAUGAAGCAAGCCUGAAGCAGUUGAUGAACGACGGCAGUGGGAUAAGCCGGAGGCUACAGAGACGAUGAAGCAAGCCGGAGGCGGCAACAAGGUGAAGCAAGCAGUGGACGAUGAUUGAAUUGAAUCCGUAUCUUAUCG
This 1430-nucleotide long non-coding RNA is filed under the name Lactuca sativa (garden lettuce). RNAcentral's name for it is "long non-coding RNA (LSAT_LNC003422)". The record is from RNAcentral. Lineage: Eukaryota; Viridiplantae; Streptophyta; Magnoliopsida; Asterales; Asteraceae.